AGAUCUCUGAACAAAGAGUUGUUAUUUGGGUGACUGUGGAUGUGCACUCUACCCAAAUACUGGAAGAAGUACCUGUUGGUUUUCAGGAUGUAACACUCCCAGAUUAACACAGGUUCCUUUUGUCAUCUGCCUUUAAACCCAGUGAAUAUUCAUCAGUGAUGCUGAGGCAAAGAAAAAGGCUGCAUGAUUAAUUUUGCUUUCAGCAUUGGAUGUGAUAGUCUGCUUAGAAAGCCCCUGCAUGGAAUGGCAGCAGAGAAGAGCAACAAGUGCCUGCUUUUUGUGAGGAGGAACACAAUGUGCUGUUUCCCCUGCCACAGCCCCAGAGCCCUCACCAGCAGUCAUUCAACUCCUUAGCCUGUGAGCGUGCCAAGAUCCAGCAGUUAUCCCAGGUUCCAGCUGCUGUGCCUGGAGAUGUGAGAAGCGUGCUCAGGCUCAUUAAACGUGCAGGACCUGGGAGCUGUGCCCGUGGUGACACCACAGACAAUAUUCCACGUGAAACUCAAGCACUGGAGCUCCUUGGCAUGAGGCACACGCGAGCGCUCGGGAGCAGUUCCAGAGCCGACUCCAGCACGUCUCCUUGCUUUUCAGCUGCUCACCAAGAGGUGGUUUGUACAGAAAAACCCAGAAGGGAAACACGUGUCCUCAGGGAAGCUGGAGAUGGAAAUAGUUCUCAUGUGAGGCAUCACACACACAUGGACUGGAGGCUGCUUUGGGAGUUUCUCCAGAGACCUUUCCUGAAGAUUGUGAAGAGCUGGGCUUUCUCCUGCCUGGAGUUUUGUGGGGAAAACAAAAAGCAGUGUCAGAUGUGGAGUUCGUACAGAGGAUAAUAUCCUUACACAUCUUCAUUUCCCCAAGCUAAGAGAGGACUGCUUUUCCAAAACAUGCAUAAGCUGGCUAUGCUACUGUACCACUUCAAUUGUUUCCAGCUAUAGGCAGAGAUCCAGAGGCAUUCUGGAUCUGUAAGAUGCAUUCUGGAUUCCAACAGGAGUCUUUUCCUUUAAGCCCGCUCAUUUCUUCAAUCUAACACAACUAACCUGAAAUACUCUUAUUUCUUUUAAACUCUGCUUCUCUAUUUGCUUUUGAAUUGCUUUCAUCUAGAGUGUGAAAUUCCAAGUGACUGCAAAAAAGCUGUCUGAGGAAUAUUCUUGGCAGUACUGCUAGCAGAGAGUACAGGAAACCUCACGAGAGAGUUGGUUCCAGCAGCACUGCCAUCCACGUUUCACAGCUGCGGGGACAUCCAGAGCAAAUCCAAACACUGGCUUUCCCUUCAGCAGAGCCACAGUUACCCAGCACACCACCCUGGCAAUGUCCAGGGCCAGGUUGGAUGGGGAUUGGAGCCGCCUGGUGCAGUGGAAGGUGUCCCUGCCCACUGUAGGGGGUGGAUUGGGUGGUCUGUAAGGUCCCUUCCAACCCAAACUGUUCCACGGUCCUGUGAAAACUCUUGCAGGCAGCCGCUGGCUGCUCAGCAGCUCUGCUUGGGUAUAUUGGCCUCAUCUGUGCAUGAAACACGUUUUCUGUUACUGGUGCAAGCUCCUGAAUAUCACCUGAUCUGAAAGGUCCUCGAGAUGGAAGGGGUCCUCAGCACCCCGUUUUGGACAGGAGAUUAUCCCUCUGGAGAAGACACCCUGGAGGAGUGCUGAGGCUGCCCUGGACAGGCCAGGCCAUGGUGGCUUUGCCUUGAAAAUAGAGAGGCCUUCAUUGCAACAGGCCUGAGAUCUACAGGGAGUAAGAGCAACUCAGAACUGCGCUGCUGCCUUCACCCUGUGUGUUGCUGGGGCGAUGCAGAGCCUCAGCUUUGCCUUGGCUCAGCCGUGCUGCGGCUUUGGGGCUCCUCAUUGUGCCCCUAAGGGCAAGGGAACGCUGCAGGCACUGCAGCCAGGGCUGCUCACUGACACCUGUGCUGCCAGCACUGCCCUGCUCUCGGGCCUCUGUCUCACUUGGCCUUCGAGUCUGCAAGAGAACCAGCACUUUGUAAGCCAGUGUCUUUCAGAAUUACUUUGCUUAUAGGCAGUACCGGUGUUAUUUAUUUAUUGGUCUCACUAAAUUUUCUCAUUUCUCUACUGGAAAUAAUCAAUUUAUUUUUUUUUUUUUAUGAACCUGGCAACUGCAAUAACCACAUAACCCUGAACUUGCUAUUUAACCCAGUGGUGUUGAUUUAGGUGAAACCAUCAGACAGGUCCCCUACAGUUUAAAAAAAUACCAUUUAUAGCAGCGUGUUUGUGGAUAUUGUGAACAGUGAGGUGUGGCAGGAAAGACUUUAUCAGUAUUUUUGUCAGUAAUUUUUAUGCAGAACUCUGACUUAGCAUUUUCUAUCAUAGAAUAUUGGAAUAAUACAAAUUUCUUGAGGCAGAUAAUUUGCUGAGUAAAAUUUCAGAACAAAAUAAAACUGGAAUAAAAGUAAAUUCAUAUACUUCUGACAACUUUCCCAAAUAUAUUAAACCUAAGGAAAUACCUGAUGGUAUUUUAUAUUUAAUAUGUUAAGGUAUUUCAUAUAUAAGAUAUUUUAAUAUUCUAAGGGUGUUUCAGGAAUAGGAGAUACCAUUUCUUGCAAUAAAUGACUUUAAAACAGAAAAUAGUAAUUAUGUAGAAGGGCAGAGUAUUAACAAAUUCUUGAUUGCACAAAAUAAUCCUCUUUAAAAAUUUUCCUAAUUGUCCUGACCUUUUCUUUUUGUCACUUAGCUGAUCUGCAUGUUAUGAAUUACCAGCUGAACUGGGUGUAGAAACAAUUAAAUCCAGCUCCCAAAUCUUGCAGAAUGACUAAAGCAAAAGCAGAUGACAGCUGGGAGAUAGCUGUGCAAUAGUAUUCUCUGUUCAGGAAAUAAUAGAUAGCAAGCUGUGGAGACUUCUGGGGAAACCACUGGGAAGAGGGAGUAUACAUUUUUUUCCAGUUAUUAUAUUAUCUUCCAAAAAAACCCGGUCACACACAUACUAUGUUUGUAGUAAGUAAAGUUAGCACAUGGUAAAACGAAGUCCUGUAAAAAUGUCAGCAAAGAAAAUUAUUUCUUCUACCCUAAUGCACAUACACAUACACACGACCAAGAGCCAGCUUUUGUGGUAAAUAGUAGCUUUCCUUACACGUUUUUAUUCAGAAAAUGUGGAAUCUCUGAAUUAUGCCAUGUUGGUCAACUUACAAAACUUAUAAAAAAUCCCUUUUGGUCUCUUACUCCACCUGCUUUGGCAGCACACCCUGGCUGCAGAGGGCUGAGUGCUCACUUCUCAUGCAGGAAUCACAACUUGGGUCAUAUUUAUUCACUUAUUUCUCACACAUCCUACCCUCUUGCUUAUGCUUUUUUCACAGCUGCACAUUUUUCAGAGACUUCAGCAAAGUUCCUUGUCAAGUAUCAGUGCUGU
Long non-coding RNA from Haemorhous mexicanus (house finch), 3351 nucleotides. RefSeq lists it as uncharacterized. Lineage: Eukaryota; Metazoa; Chordata; Aves; Passeriformes; Fringillidae. The record is from RefSeq and is a predicted model, not a curated record. The transcript has 3 exons.